AUACAACGAAGAGUUUGAUCCUGGCUCAGGAUGAACGCUAGCGACAGGCCUAACACAUGCAAGUCGAGGGGCAGCACGUAAAGUAGCAAUACUUUUGGUGGCGACCGGCGCACGGGUGAGUAACACGUAUGCAACCUGCCUGUAAGCGGGGAAUAACCCGGAGAAAUCCGGACUAAUACCGCAUAAUACCAAUUUUCUGCAUGGAAGAGUGGUUAAACAUUUAUGGCUUACAGAUGGGCAUGCGUAUGAUUAGAUAGUUGGUGAGGUAACGGCUCACCAAGUCAACGAUCAUUAGGGGUUCUGAGAGGAAGGUCCCCCACACUGGUACUGAGACACGGACCAGACUCCUACGGGAGGCAGCAGUGAGGAAUAUUGGUCAAUGGGCGAGAGCCUGAACCAGCCAAGUCGCGUGAAGGAAGAAGGUUCUAUGGAUUGUAAACUUCUUUUGCAUGGGAAUAAAGUGAGCUACGUGUAGUUUAUUGUAUGUACCAUGCGAAUAAGGAUCGGCUAACUCCGUGCCAGCAGCCGCGGUAAUACGGAGGAUCCAAGCGUUAUCC
Molecule: ribosomal RNA, 557 nt
Filed under: Caedimonadaceae bacterium
Lineage: Bacteria; Pseudomonadati; Pseudomonadota; Alphaproteobacteria; Holosporales; Caedimonadaceae
Description: bacterial SSU rRNA
Rfam family: Bacterial small subunit ribosomal RNA
Source: RNAcentral